RNAcentral lists this ribosomal RNA (306 nucleotides) under Mactra antiquata. RNAcentral's name for it is "partial large subunit ribosomal RNA". It matches the Rfam family "Archaeal large subunit ribosomal RNA", at positions 2033 to 2588 of the family's 2987-position model. Lineage: Eukaryota; Metazoa; Mollusca; Bivalvia; Venerida; Mactridae. The record is from RNAcentral.
GCAGUCAAUUGUCCUUUAAUUGGGGAAAGGAAUGAAAGGGUUGACGAGGGGGAGGCUGUCUUUGUAAUAUAAUUUGAAAUUUUCUUUUACGUGAAAAGACUUAAAUUUUAAAAUAAGAAGAGAAGACCCCGGCGAGCUUGUUAAGGGUUGUUAAAUGAAAAUGACCAUUGAGGUUUGUUGGGGCAACGCAAAGGGAAGAAAACUCCUUUGAACGUGAUAAGGAUCCACUAAGAGUGAAUAAAGCAAAAGCUACCGCGGGGAUAACAGCGCAAUUUUCUUAGAGAGUUCAUAUCGAAGAGAAAGUUU